AUGGAUUGGAGGGUAUUUUGCCAUAAACAUUUUUUUUUGUUUUUGUUUUGUUUUGUUUUUCUUUUUAGGGCCACACCCCAGGCAUAUGGAGGUUCCCAGGCUAGGGGUAAAUUAGAGCUAGAGCUGCUGGCCUACACCACAGCCACAGCAAUGCAGGAUCUGAGCUGCGUCUGUGACCUACAUCACAGCUCACAGCAAAACCAGAUCCUUAAUCCACUGAGUAAGGCCAGGGAUCGAACUGACAACCUCAUGGUUCCUAGUUGGAUUCGUUUCUGCUGCACCAUGAUGGGAACUCCUUUUUUCCUGGUUUUCUCCUUUCAUCAUAAAGAUGUCAUUAUUCUGUCUCUAACUCACUUGUCAUUUUUUUUUUCCAGAGAAAAACUUGGCUUUCAUUUCUUGCUCCUUAACAGCCACGGGGCCUCUGAACAUCAGGUGCUUCUUCACAAACGUCAUCAGCUCAUCCAUCUUUCUAGAAAGGAGACAAAUACAAAGCUUUGAAGACCAAAACUCAACAUAUAAUGUCAUAUUAUUUAUACUUCUGACAGUUCCAAUUUUUGUCUUAUUCUUUCUUAUCACCCACACUCUUCUUUGGCUUCUUGCCUUGAACUUUUCCCUCUACUAUGUCACUACUUAGCACCAUCUCCAAUAUCUCUACCUUCCCUUCUACCCAAAUUUUUCUGCAUAGUUAUUAAUAACAUUUUUUUUAUUUUCCCACUGUACAGCAAGGGGAUCAAGUUAUCAUGACAUGUAUACAUUACAAUUACAUUUUUUCCCCCACCCUUUCUUCUGUUGCAACAUGAGUAUCCAGACAAAGUUCUCAACGCUACUCAGCAGGAUCUCCUUGUAAAUCUAUUCUAAGUUGUGUCUGAUAAGCCCAAACUCCCGAUCCCUCCCACUCCCUCCCCCUCCCAUCAGGCAGCCACAAGUCUCUUCUCCAAGUCCAUGAUUUUCUUUUCUGAGGAGAUGUUCAUUUGUGCUGGAUAUUAGAUUCCAGUUAUAAGUGAUAUCAUAUGGUAUUUGUCUUUGUCU
Molecule: long non-coding RNA, 1029 nt
Filed under: Sus scrofa (pig)
Lineage: Eukaryota; Metazoa; Chordata; Mammalia; Artiodactyla; Suidae
Description: lncRNA (ENSSSCG00035065081.1)
Source: RNAcentral